This 546-nucleotide small RNA is filed under the name Pongo abelii (Sumatran orangutan). RNAcentral's name for it is "processed transcript". Lineage: Eukaryota; Metazoa; Chordata; Mammalia; Primates; Hominidae. The record is from RNAcentral.
ACACCUCUCAGCCUGCGGUGGUUAGAAGUUGAUUGGUUAAAUCUGCACCCAGGGCUAAGGCUUUUGCGUUCCCUAAUCUCUUAGAUGUGCUUGGAGCCCUUUCCUACCUUUCAAAAUACUCAUGCUCAGAUGCCACUUUCUCCAAGAUACGCACUGUAGUUAUGUUUCAUCCAUUAUUCCUGUUGAUGCCUACGAGGUCCUAGGCACUUUACAUAACAAGCUUUAAAGAUAGGCAUUUCUGUCUGCCUUACAGGCUCAGCAGCAGCAAAGUUUGCUAAUUUGCUAGAAGUCACGGAGGUGGGACCCCAACCCCCUAUGUCAGCCCCUACGCUCUACAUUGCCUGCCAAGCUGUCUCUAAGGGUACAUGAGCAUGAGAGCAAAACAGGGCAACUCCGUUCAGAUGAGAAGAGCGGCAGAGGAAGCUUCAGGAGUACCUUGCAGCCAAGGGAAAACUGAAGAGCCAAAACACCAAGCCUUAUCUAAAAUCCAAGAAUAAUUGCCAGAAUCCACCACCUUCUAAAUCUACUGUUAGACCCAAAAAUGAU